This 588-nucleotide ribosomal RNA is filed under the name uncultured bacterium. RNAcentral's name for it is "partial 16S ribosomal RNA". It matches the Rfam family "Bacterial small subunit ribosomal RNA", at positions 355 to 1375 of the family's 1533-position model. The record is from RNAcentral.
UGGGGAAUUUUGGACAAUGGGCGAAAGCCUGAUCCAGCAAUGCCGCGUGUGUGAAGAAGGCCUUCGGGUUGUAAAGCACUUUUGUCCGGAAAGAAAUCCUUGGCUCUAAUACAGUCGGGGGAUGACGGUACCGGAAGAAUAAGCACCGGCUAACUACGUGUCAGCAGCCGCGGUAAUACGUAGGGUGCAAGCGUUAAUCGGAAUUACUGGGCGUAAAGCGUGCGCAGGCGGUUUGCUAAGACCGAUGUGAAAUCCCCGGGCUCAACCUGGGAACUGCAUUGGUGACUGGCAGGCUAGAGUAUGGCAGAGGGGGGUAGAAUUCCACGUGUAGCAGUGAAAUGCGUAGAGAUGUGGAGGAAUACCGAUGGCGAAGGCAGCCCCCUGGGCCAAUACUGACGCUCAUGCACGAAAAGCGUGGGGGAGCAAAACAGGAUUAGAUACCCUGGUAGUCCACGCCCUAAACGAUGUCAACUAGUUGUUGGGGAUUCAUUUCCUUAGUAACGUAGCUAACGCGUGAAGUUGACCGCCUGGGGAGUACGGUCGCAAGAUUAAAACUCAAAUGAAUUGACGGGGUCAUAGCUGUUUCCU